CACUUCCUUCCUGGGGAACAGGACAGCUAAUGGCCUGUCGCCUGCUUCCAGCGUGAGGUGACAGCAGAGAAAACACAGCCGCACACAGCCCCAGACCCCAAAGCUCCUCUCAACCAUCAGGCCCCAAACAGGACAACUCGACAGCUCAACCUGCCUGCACACAACCUCAGCUCUGUCCUGCCCAAGCCAGCCUUCACCUUGAGAACUGAAAAGUUGACACUGAACAGAUUUUCCUCCAGAGUCCUCGACACAAAAGCUACAUCUGAGAGCGUUUAACUCCAAACUCCAAAGAUGCAAACAGUCAAGAGAACCCAGGAAGAGUGAGGCCUGCACAGCACAGUGCAGGGGCCCUCAGGACAGAAGCCCUAGAGGCCUGGAUAGCAC
Molecule: long non-coding RNA, 384 nt
Filed under: Fukomys damarensis (Damara mole-rat)
Lineage: Eukaryota; Metazoa; Chordata; Mammalia; Rodentia; Bathyergidae
Description: lncRNA (ENSFDAG00000021934.1)
Source: RNAcentral